Non-coding RNA from Salvia hispanica, 535 nucleotides. The record is from RefSeq and is a predicted model, not a curated record. NCBI's taxonomy places the organism in Eukaryota, Viridiplantae, Streptophyta, Magnoliopsida, Lamiales, Lamiaceae.
UACAUCUCUAAAAACUAUAAAAUGGAAUACAAGAAAUAAAAUGGUGUACAUAUGUGGACCUAUAGGUUAAAUCUCAACCCACUUCAAAAAUUUUGGAGUCCAUGGAGAAGCCCAACUCAUCUUUUCUUCAUUGCAUAUUGCAGCCCAAUAUAUAUCCCAACUCCCAACUCCACGUGUCUUUUGCAAAAGCAGCCAGAUCCCCCCCAACCGCCUGAAAACAAUUCUCCAAUAUAUUAUUGUGAUACUACAAUUCCAUCACAGUUGAUCAAUUCCAAAGAAAUCUAGAGCUAGAGAAAAGAACGAGCAAAGAGUUCUUUUCUUUCCUUUUCAAAGACAAUUUUCCAACCUAAGGUUGAGCAGUGACGGUGGAGAAUGCUGAGCAGAGUUAUGAUUUUCUUUUUAUUUUAAGUAGAGGCUCUCGGCGGUGCAUGUCUCCAUACAUGUGACCGUGUUAAUUCCGCUGCGUAUUAAGGUUUUAGAUGACAUCGACUGUUACUCUUAUAAUUAUUUAUUAAAAUGUAAGAUUUCCAUUCGA